RNAcentral lists this unclassified non-coding RNA (973 nucleotides) under Hevea brasiliensis (rubber tree). Lineage: Eukaryota; Viridiplantae; Streptophyta; Magnoliopsida; Malpighiales; Euphorbiaceae. The record is from RNAcentral.
UAAUUCAUAUGUUGGAAAAUUAAGGUAAGAUAUACAUAUUGAUACAGGUUAAGUUGGGAAUUCUGGAAAAUGCUACUCUUAUUUCUGGACGUAAUUUGAGAUAAUAAGAAUCUAGAUAGUUUCUUAUGAUUUUAUUAUUCUUUGUUACCUCCUUACAUAUUAUCAAUCAAACUUACCAUUUUUAUAUUGAAUUUGUAAAUAUUCUGUGUCUGUAUGUAACAUAAAUCUGCUGUGUGGAUUGUUUCAAACAUGAUGAUUGCUGACAUGCAAUUUGCAAUGUAUUAUGACAACUCCCUGUAUUCUGUCAUGGACUAGCUGUUGGGUGAUUGUGAUGUGUUUUCUGUGAUAUUACUGUGGGGCAGAUGUGGCUCGACUCAAUUAAGCCUUAAUCCCUAAGUGGUUGGACUCAGUUUUACGGAUCUGUUUCCAUCUGGUUUAUGGUAUGGGAGAAACAUUGAAAGUAAAUGGCUUCAGGUCCUAGGUUAAAAUUUGUCAUCAUUAACUGGAAGAUGAUGCAAAUUUGUUAGUUUUAUGUCUAAGUUAUAAUGAUACUGUAGCUAUAUCAGGAAACGAAAAUUGGCCCACCAUGGAUUAUAUUUAUGGACACUUGUGGCACCUACAUGUGAUUUGCUGUUUCUUUGUAGUCCAUGGUGGGCUAGGUUCAUGCAAGAUUUUCUUUGUAGUUAUGGUGGACUAGUUGCUUUGGUAGCAAUGCCUAGUUUUGGUGCCGUAGAACUAAUGCUAUGACCUGUUCAUGGUCUAAAUCACCAUGGUGGUUGGAUUUAGCAAAUCCUAGUUGUACAAAUUAGUAUGUAGUUGACAACAAAAGUGCAAUUAUUCUGUUUCUGUGCUCAUCUUUUAUAUUUUGGGUGAGAAUGAGGUGGGGGAGCAUUGUUGGAGCCUUUUUUACUGUAAUAAAAAAAAUUUCUAAUGUUCCAUCAAAUUUUACAGUUCGGACUUUCUUGGCACCAAC